RNAcentral lists this ribosomal RNA (637 nucleotides) under Lachnospiraceae bacterium S37_08_2. RNAcentral's name for it is "bacterial SSU rRNA". It matches the Rfam family "Bacterial small subunit ribosomal RNA", at positions 28 to 663 of the family's 1533-position model. The record is from RNAcentral. Lineage: Bacteria; Bacillati; Bacillota; Clostridia; Lachnospirales; Lachnospiraceae.
GAUGAACGCUGGCGGCGUGCCUAACACAUGCAAGUCGAACGAAGCACUUUGAURGAUCCCCUUCGGGGGUGAAGUCAAAGUGACUUAGUGGCGGACGGGUGAGUAACGCGUGGGCAACCUGCCUCAUACAGGGGGAUAACAGCUGGAAACGGCUGCUAACACCGCAUAAGCAUACAGCAYCGCAUGGUGCAGUGUGAAAAUAUUUAUAGGUAUGAGAUGGGCCCGCGUCUGAUUAGCUAGUUGGUAAGGUAACGGCUUACCAAGGCGACGAUCAGUAGCCGGCUUGAGAGAGUGAUCGGCCACAUUGGGACUGAGACACGGCCCAAACUCCUACGGGAGGCAGCAGUGGGGAAUAUUGCACAAUGGGGGAAACCCUGAUGCAGCAACGCCGCGUGAGUGAAGAAGUAUUUCGGUAUGUAAAGCUCUAUCAGUAGGGAAGAAAAUGACGGUACCUAACUAAGAAGCCCCGGCUAACUACGUGCCAGCAGCCGCGGUAAUACGUAGGGGGCAAGCGUUAUCCGGAUUUACUGGGUGUAAAGGGAGCGUAGGUGGUAUGGUAAGUCAGAUGUGAAAGCCCAGGGCUCAACCCUGGGACUGCAUUUGAAACUACCGAACUAGAGUGCAGGAGAGGUAAGUG